UGGCCAUCCGAAUUUCCAAGGCUGAUUAUUGAAGGACAUUAAAGAUUGUUGAUGCCAUUGCCGUCCCCAAUGUCUAGGAUUCUUCAAAGGAGACAUGCAUUUAAGGGCUGCCGUUUCACUCUUCAAAGCUCCUUGGAAGAUGCCACUAGUGGCUUUGUACACUCCCUUGGCCGAACCUGGCAUACCUUUUUCAAUUCAAGGCUCCUCAUGCGCAUCAAAGACACCUUUCAAGGCUGUUCGUGUAGCUCAAUGGUCAGCCAAGCAUUGAAG
RNAcentral lists this long non-coding RNA (270 nucleotides) under Gossypium barbadense (sea-island cotton). RNAcentral's name for it is "long non-coding RNA (GBAR_LNC020063)". Lineage: Eukaryota; Viridiplantae; Streptophyta; Magnoliopsida; Malvales; Malvaceae. The record is from RNAcentral.